Molecule: transfer RNA, 75 nt
Filed under: Sphaerodactylus townsendi
Lineage: Eukaryota; Metazoa; Chordata; Lepidosauria; Squamata; Sphaerodactylidae
Description: tRNA-Ala
Rfam family: tRNA
About the family: Transfer RNA (tRNA) molecules are approximately 80 nucleotides in length. Their secondary structure includes four short double-helical elements and three loops (D, anti-codon, and T loops).
Source: RNAcentral
GGAGGGGCCAUGGCUUAAUGGUAGAGCAUCUGCUUGGCAUGCAGAAAGUUCCAGGUUCAAUCCCUGGCAUCUCCA